CUUCCCUGGGGUUAAAUGCCAAACAAAAAUGCCAGCUUUCCUCUGAUAAAUUUCUGGAGGUCAGUUUAGAGCCCAGUGCAGCAAAUGAUUAUCUGUGGCUGUUCCUGCUAACUGGUGCCUGUGGACUUCAAAGAAAAAAAAUCAAGAAACUGAGUAAAUGGUAUGGAAAAAACCUGGAUAUUGGAUUGAAGAUCUUAACAGUUGCUGCUCUUUGAGAAGCUAGUAAGUUAUCAGAAUGAAUAUCUGCAUUCUACUGUAAGCCCCCAAGAUUCUUCAA
Lagopus leucura (white-tailed ptarmigan) is the source of this 277-nucleotide long non-coding RNA. RefSeq lists it as uncharacterized. NCBI's taxonomy places the organism in Eukaryota, Metazoa, Chordata, Aves, Galliformes, Phasianidae. The transcript has 3 exons. The record is from RefSeq and is a predicted model, not a curated record.